UGGAAAAUGUAGAGUACUAUCAGCCUCCAAAAAUCAGCAGUUCAUUUUGGAGUUCCUAUUGUAUUCUCGUUAAUUUAUGCACAAACAUGGACGGUAGCAACAAUCUGCGUUGAUACUGUGGCAUUGUGCAAUAAAACUAUAACUUCAGAAUGCGCAAAAUGUCUCAUUGUACAGAAAAUUGUACUCAAUUGAAACACGGAUAAAGCGAAUCAUCAUCAUUAUAAAAUAUCUACAUAUAAAGAAAAUAAA
Molecule: small nuclear RNA, 249 nt
Filed under: Cryptosporidium parvum
Lineage: Eukaryota; Apicomplexa; Conoidasida; Eucoccidiorida; Cryptosporidiidae
Source: RNAcentral